CACCUACGGGGGGCAGCAGUGAGGAAUAUUGGUCAAUGGGCGGUAGCCUGAACCAGCCAAGUAGCGUGAAGGAUGAAGGUUCUAUGGAUUGUAAACUUCUUUUAUAAAGGAAUAAAGUGAGGCACGUGUGCCUUUUUGUAUGUACUUUAUGAAUAAGGAUCGGCUAACUCCGUGCCAGCAGCCGCGGUAAUACGGAGGAUCCGAGCGUUAUCCGGAUUUAUUGGGUUUAAAGGGAGCGUAGAUGGGUUGUUAAGUCAGAUGUGAAAUCCUGUAGCUUAACUACAGAACUGCAUUUGAAACUGAUC
RNAcentral lists this ribosomal RNA (305 nucleotides) under uncultured bacterium. RNAcentral describes it as "bacterial SSU rRNA". It matches the Rfam family "Bacterial small subunit ribosomal RNA", at positions 335 to 638 of the family's 1533-position model. The record is from RNAcentral.